AGGGCACCACCAGGAGUGGAGCCUGCGGCUUAAUUUGACUCAACACGGGAAAUCUCACCAGGCCCGGACACCGGAAGGAUUGACAGAUUGAGAGCUCUUUCUUGAUUCGGUGGGUGGUGGUGCAUGGCCGUUCUUAGUUGGUGGAGCGAUUUGUCUGGUUAAUUCCGAUAACGAACGAGACUCUGGCCUACUAACUAGACGUUCGAUCUCUUUGUGGGUCCAUCACAGCUUCUUAGAGGGAGGGGCGGCGUUUAGCCGCACGAGAAUGAACAAUAACAGGUCUGUGAUGCCCUUAUAUGUUCUGGGCUGCACGCGCGCUACACUGAAGGAAUCAGCGUGUGUACCCUGUCUGAAAAGACUGGGAAACACGAUGAACCUCCUUCUUGAUGGGGAUUGGGGAUUGCAAUUAUUCCCCAUGAACAAGGAAUUCCCAGUAGGCGCGAGUCAUAAGCUCGCGUCGAUUACGUCCCUGCCCUUUGUACACACCGCCCCUCGCUACUACCGAUCGAGUGAUUUAUU
Molecule: ribosomal RNA, 519 nt
Filed under: uncultured eukaryote
Lineage: Eukaryota
Description: SSU rRNA
Rfam family: Eukaryotic small subunit ribosomal RNA
Source: RNAcentral